AGUGAACGCUGGCGGUAAGCCUAACACAUGCCAGUCGAACGGCAGCACAGUAAGAGCUUGCUCUUACGGGUGGCGAGUGGCGGACGGGUGAGGAAUACAUCGGAAUCUACUUUUUCGUGGGGGAUAACGUAGGGAAACUUACGCUAAUACCGCAUACGACCUACGGGUGAAAGCAGGGGAUCUUCGGACCUUGCGCGAUUGAAUGAGCCGAUGUCGGAUUAGCUAGUUGGCGGGGUAAAGGCCCACCAAGGCGACGAUCCGUAGCUGGUCUGAGAGGAUGAUCAGCCACACUGGAACUGAGACACGGUCCAGACUCCUAAGGGAGGCAGCAGUGGGGAAUAUUGGACAAUGGGCGCAAGCCUGAUCCAGCCAUACCGCGUGGGUGAAGAAGGCCUUCGGGUUGUAAAGCCCUUUUGUUGGGAAAGAAAAGCAGCAGGUUAAUACCCCGCUGUUCUGACGGUACCCAAAGAAUAAGCACCGGCUAACUUCGUG
Molecule: ribosomal RNA, 492 nt
Filed under: uncultured bacterium
Lineage: Bacteria
Description: partial 16S ribosomal RNA
Rfam family: Bacterial small subunit ribosomal RNA
Source: RNAcentral